RNAcentral lists this ribosomal RNA (253 nucleotides) under uncultured bacterium. Its description in RNAcentral is "partial 16S ribosomal RNA". It matches the Rfam family "Bacterial small subunit ribosomal RNA", at positions 524 to 776 of the family's 1533-position model. The record is from RNAcentral.
UACGGAGGGUGCAAGCGUUAUCCGGAUUUACUGGGUUUAAAGGGUGUGUAGGCGGGCUAUUAAGUCAGUGGUGAAAUCUCCGGGCUCAACCCGGAAACUGCCACUGAUACUAUUAGUCUUGAAUUUUGUUGAGGUAGGCGGAAUAAGUCAUGUAGCGGUGAAAUGCAUAGAUAUGACUUAGAACACCAAUUGCGAAGGCAGCUUACUAAGCAAAUAUUGACGCUGAGGCACGAAAGCGUGGGGAUCAAACAGG